This 119-nucleotide ribosomal RNA is filed under the name Octodon degus (degu). The record is from RNAcentral. Lineage: Eukaryota; Metazoa; Chordata; Mammalia; Rodentia; Octodontidae.
GUCUAUGGCCAUACCACCCUGAACAUGCCCGAUCUCGUCUGAUCUCAUAAACUAAGCAGGGUUGGGCCUGGUUAGUGCCUGGAUGGGAGACCGCCUGGGAAUACGGGAAGCUGUAGGCU